CAGCCGCCGCGGUAAUACGAAGGGGGCUAGCGUUGUUCGGAUUAACUGGGCGUAAAGGGUGCGUAGGCGGGUUUUUAAGUCAGGGGUGAAAUCCCGAGGCUCAACCUCGGAACGGCCUUUGAUACUGGAAAUCUUGAGUCUGGGAGAGGUGAGUGGAACUGCGAGUGUAGAGGUGAAAUUCGUAGAUAUUCGCAAAAACACCAGUGGCGAAGGCGGCUCGCUGGCCCGGUACUGACGCUGAGGCACGAAAGCGUGGGGAGCAAACAGGAUUAGAGACCCCGGUAGUCCCUGUCUCUUAUAC
RNAcentral lists this ribosomal RNA (301 nucleotides) under uncultured bacterium. Its description in RNAcentral is "partial 16S ribosomal RNA". It matches the Rfam family "Bacterial small subunit ribosomal RNA", at positions 509 to 807 of the family's 1533-position model. The record is from RNAcentral.